GCUCGUGUGGUGAAAUUGGCAGACACGACGGACUUAAAAUCCGUUGAUCGUAAGAUCAUGAGGGUUCAAGUCCCUUCUCGAGCACCA
RNAcentral lists this transfer RNA (87 nucleotides) under Candidatus Buchananbacteria bacterium CG10_big_fil_rev_8_21_14_0_10_33_19. RNAcentral describes it as "tRNA-Leu". It matches the Rfam family "tRNA". From Rfam's summary of the family: Transfer RNA (tRNA) molecules are approximately 80 nucleotides in length. RNAcentral also lists the same sequence under 1 other name. Lineage: Bacteria; Candidatus Buchananiibacteriota. The record is from RNAcentral.